Molecule: non-coding RNA, 511 nt
Organism: Hemicordylus capensis (graceful crag lizard)
Lineage: Eukaryota; Metazoa; Chordata; Lepidosauria; Squamata; Cordylidae
Source: the annotation of a RefSeq genome assembly
GCGAAAGCACAAUCCCUCUUGAGAGAUCACCAUGGCCUGGGCACUGGUUUUCCUUACACUUCUCAGCUACUGCUCAGGUGUCAUUUCACAGGCAACUGUGACCCAGCCUGUCUCCACAUCUGGGUCUCUGGGACAAACUGCCAAACUCUCCUGCACCAGAAGCAGCAGUGGGAGCUGGAGCAGCACUUAUUACUGGGUUCAACAGAGACCUGGACAGGCCCCUCGCUUCGUGCACUGUAACGGCUGUAGCAGGGGAGAAGGGAUCCCGGACCGGUUCACUGCCUCUGCCUCAGGAACCACUGCCCAGUUAACCAUCACCAACGUCCAGCCUGAAGACGAGGCAGAUUAUUACUGUGUUGUCUGGUAUAGCACUGGUAGCAUGUUCCACAGUGUUGAAGAAUUAGACUUCAGAGACCCCCUGCAGACGCAGCACCUGUGGUGUGAGUUGAAGCACAAGACUAUUCAGCAUGCACGCCUCCUCUCUGGGGACAUUUUCUUCACUCAUGCUUAG